GUAGUGGACACUGUAAAGUUUCUGCUCGAAUUUCCUCAGACGUCCAAACGUCGGCAGUAUUCGUUACUACUAGCGAUGAGUUAAGAGGAGCUAAACACACAUACAUAGUGCAAAUUCAUAUGGGUCACACAGCAGAUAAAGGAAUUUCUGAGGAAUUUAAUGAAACGAGUGGUUCGGUAAAGGUUUUCGUUGGUAUGGACUGAGGAUCUGGUGAGCCUGAUCAUUGCAAUGAAAGAAGAAAUAAAGAAAGAAAAACUCUCAUUAUAAUGCUCUUAAAAUUUUAAAAUAAUUUGUCCUCACGUACCCAAAUUGGUGAUAUAUGAAAAUAUGACGAUGAGUGAGCCAAACCACGCGAUGAUUAUGAGCUGAUACAGCCGCAUUCUUAUUGACAUUAUUAUGUUUUCAACAUUAUAUGUCUCAAGGAAACGACUCUUGAAUUUUUACAGUGAAAGUUCGUUCAUCUAACCGAGAAUAAAAAGCUGACAACCAGCCUAAAGAUUCAUGAAGUUGGAACAUUAAUACAAGACAUUUCACUCUGUCAUAACAACAAUCCUCAAAAUUAAAUCUUUUCAAAUACGUAAUAAUAGCAAAGUUGAGUUUUUAAUCAAGAAACGUCACCUUUCGGAGAAAUUCGAGGUAAAUACGUCCAUUAUAAAAUUGUAACUUUGUAUUUUGUAUUUGAAAGCAUGUUCUAUAUAGUUUGUUGACUUGUAGUUUGUAAACAGCAUUAAUUAUUUCUUGUUGUUAAAUACAUUUGCAUAUCAAAUGUUAA
This is a long non-coding RNA of Xenia sp. Carnegie-2017, 772 nucleotides long. RefSeq lists it as uncharacterized. The record is from RefSeq and is a predicted model, not a curated record. The transcript has 2 exons. NCBI's taxonomy places the organism in Eukaryota, Metazoa, Cnidaria, Anthozoa, Malacalcyonacea, Xeniidae.